RNAcentral lists this unclassified non-coding RNA (337 nucleotides) under soil metagenome. Its description in RNAcentral is "partial contains 5.8S ribosomal RNA, internal transcribed spacer 2, and large subunit ribosomal RNA". The stretch from base 1 to 120 matches the Rfam family "5.8S ribosomal RNA", at positions 35 to 154 of the family's 154-position model. The record is from RNAcentral.
GAUGAAGAACGUAGCGAAAUGCGAUAAGUAGUGUGAAUUGCAGAAUUCAGUGAAUCAUCGAAUCUUUGAACGCACAUUGCGCCCCUUGGUAUUCCGGGGGGCAUGCCUGUUCGAGCGUCAUUUCAACCCUCAAGCUCUGCUUGGUAUUGGGCUCCGUCCUCCUCGGACGCGCCUCAAAGACCUCGGCGGUGGCGUCUUGCCUCAAGCGUAGUAGAAACACCUCGCUUUGGAGUGCAUGGCGUCGCCCGCCGGACGAAACCUUUUGUAUUUUCUCAAAGGUUGACCUCGGAUCAGGUAGGGAUACCCGCUGAACUUAAGCAUAUCAAUAAGCGGAGGA